RNAcentral lists this long non-coding RNA (501 nucleotides) under Piliocolobus tephrosceles (Ugandan red Colobus). Its description in RNAcentral is "lncRNA (ENSPTEG00000006956.1)". Lineage: Eukaryota; Metazoa; Chordata; Mammalia; Primates; Cercopithecidae. The record is from RNAcentral.
CGGGGUCAGACAGCGCACCGCGGCCCGGCCUUUCGCGGGGGUCCUCGGGGAAGAGAGAGGAGCGCGGGCUUCUUCGGAGGCCUGAGCGGGACGCAGCCUGCAGCCCCUCCCCGCACAGGCUGCCCCCGACCCGCCGCUAGCGCAGCUCUGCUGGGAUCCGGCGCCUUCCCCGGCUGUCCUCGGCCUCCCGCACGCUCCGCGGGAGGAGCCGCCGGCGGCCGUGACGCGUCAAGGAGGAAACGCCGGCGCCCGGCGGCCCUGCCGGGAAGGAGGAAGCGCAGUGCGUUCGGCUCGGCGCCCACUGCGCCGGGAGCAGCACCGCGGGGCCGGGCACAUGUAAUAGUGUUUCUUUGCUUUGUUUCUGUACAAGAUAGGACUGAAGAUUGUCUUUCUCUCUGGUCUGCAGAAGGGCCUGGACAAUCUGAAUUCUGCCAACCUCUUCAGUUCAGAACCAGCUUGACCCCAGGCCCCAUCACUCUGCGAGUCACCACAGUCCUCUAG